GCAGCCAAAAAUAAAUAAAUUAAAAAAAAAAAAAGACUGAGGGACAGCAUCCGAAAAAGCCUGGCACUGAGAGAGACCCUUGGUUCCUGGGGAACUGACAAUACUACAGCCUUUCUAUCUGCAGCCUGGAGGUAGCAAUGGGGGAGGAGGAGGUAGUGUGGUGCAGUCCUUUAUUAGAGCAGAAAACUCCUAAGCCACUUGUACCCUACUUGCAGGAACUGGAAAUAUUGGAAAGGAACAAAAAGCUUCUGAGCAGGCAAAGGAACAAAGAAGUACAAGAUGUACGCCAACACUUCACACGUUGGUGCCACCCGACACAACCUCUCAAUUAGCAGAUGCCACAGAUGAGGUCCUGAGAGUGGGACCCUCAUGACGGGAUUAGUGCCCUUAUAAGAAGAGACACCAGAGAGCUUGCUUGCUCACUCUCUGCCAUCUGUGGACACAGGGAGAAGACAGCCAUUUGCAAGCCAGGAAGAGAGCUCUCCCCGGUACAUGAACAUGCUGGCACCUUAUCUUGGACUUCCAGGCUCCAGAACUGUGACAAAAUUAAUUUCGUUUUUUUAAGCUACCCAGUCUAUGAUAUUUUGUUAUGGCAGCCCGGCCUAAGGAAGGCAUCAAUAACAUUCACAGAAAUAAACUUCUAAAAGUUUUUACAAUUAGCAUCAAGAGAAAUGUAUUUGUUCAUAGCCUUUGACUCAUGAAUUUGCUUCUAGAAAUUUAACCUGGGGAACUAAUCAGGAAUAUAAUGCAAUAUUUUGUAUGUAAGAGUUUUAUCUCAUUUUGAUAUAAAGUAGUGAAAAAUGUCCAGCAAUAGGUAUUAAUGAACAAAUUAUAUGAAACAUGAACAUUCUGCAACCAUUAAAAAUUAUGUUUAAGGGGAAUUC
This is a long non-coding RNA of Balaenoptera musculus (blue whale), 884 nucleotides long. RefSeq lists it as uncharacterized. Lineage: Eukaryota; Metazoa; Chordata; Mammalia; Artiodactyla; Balaenopteridae. The record is from RefSeq and is a predicted model, not a curated record. The transcript has 3 exons.